RNAcentral lists this small nuclear RNA (104 nucleotides) under Myotis davidii. Lineage: Eukaryota; Metazoa; Chordata; Mammalia; Chiroptera; Vespertilionidae. The record is from RNAcentral.
GUGCUCAUUUCAGCAGCAUGUAUAUUAAAAUUGGAGCGAUAUGGAGAUUAUAAUGGCCCCUACACAAGGAUGACAUGCAAAUUCGUGAAGUGUUCCAUAUUAAA